UAUUGGGCGUAAGGGCUCGCAGGCGGUUUCUUAAGUCUGAUGUGAAAGCCCCCGGCUCAACCGGGGAGGGUCAUUGGAAACUGGGGAACUUGAGUGCAGAAGAGGAGAGUGGAAUUCCACGUGUAGCGGUGAAAUGCGUAGAGAUGUGGAGGAACACCAGUGGCGAAGGCGACUCUCUGGUCUGUAACUGACGCUGAGGAGCGAAAGCGUGGGGAGCGAACAGGAUUAGAUACCCUGGUAGUCCACGCCGUAAACGAUGAGUGCUAAGUGUUAGGGGGUUUCCGCCCCUUAGUGCUGCAGCUAACGCAUUAAGCACUCCGCCUGGGGAGUACGGUCGCAAGACUGAAACUCAAAGGAAUUGACGGGGGCCCGCACAAGCGGUGGAGCAUGUGGUUUAAUUCGAAGCAACGCGAAGAACCUUACCAGGUCUUGACAUCCUCUGACAAUCCUAGAGAUAGGACGUCCCCUUCGGGGGCAGAGUGACAGGUGGUGCAUGGUUGUCGUCAGCUCGUGUCGUGAGAUGUUGGGUUAAGUCCCGCAACGAGCGCAACCCUUGAUCUUAGUUGCCAGCAUUCAGUUGGGCACUCUAAGGUGACUGCCGGUGACAAACCGGAGGAAGGUGGGGAUGACGUCAAAUCAUCAUGCCCCUUAUGACCUGGGCUACACACGUGCUACAAUGGACAGAACAAAGGGCAGCGAAACCGCGAGGUUAAGCCAAUCCCACAAAUCUGUUCUCAGUUCGGAUCGCAGUCUGCAACUCGACUGCGUGAAGCUGGAAUCGCUAGUAAUCGCGGAUCAGCAUGCCGCG
This 808-nucleotide ribosomal RNA is filed under the name Bacillus subtilis. RNAcentral's name for it is "bacterial SSU rRNA". It matches the Rfam family "Bacterial small subunit ribosomal RNA", at positions 552 to 1361 of the family's 1533-position model. The record is from RNAcentral. Lineage: Bacteria; Bacillati; Bacillota; Bacilli; Caryophanales; Bacillaceae.